This 261-nucleotide ribosomal RNA is filed under the name uncultured bacterium. Its description in RNAcentral is "partial 16S ribosomal RNA". It matches the Rfam family "Bacterial small subunit ribosomal RNA", at positions 793 to 1055 of the family's 1533-position model. The record is from RNAcentral.
GUCCACGCCCUAAACGAUGUGUGCUGGGCGUCGGGGGCUUGCCCCGCGGUGCCGGAGCUAACGCGGUAAGCACACCGCCUGGGGAGUACGGCCGCAAGGUUAAAACUCAAAGGAAUUGACGGGGCCCGCACAAGCGGUGGAGCAUGUGGUUUAAUUCGACGCAACGCGCAGAACCUUACCAGCCCUUGACAUGGCGGCCGCGGCCUCGCGAGAGCGGGGCGUCCCUUCGGGGGGCCGUCACAGGUGCUGCAUGGCUGUCGU